RNAcentral lists this long non-coding RNA (606 nucleotides) under Olea europaea subsp. europaea. The record is from RNAcentral. Lineage: Eukaryota; Viridiplantae; Streptophyta; Magnoliopsida; Lamiales; Oleaceae.
CACGACUAUAGUUCAAUAUACUUGUUUUUGGCCUUUGAUUUAUUAUGAUUUGAAUUGUAUUGUUAUGUUCUGGUGAUUUUAGUUAUGAUAAUCUUGAUAAGAAAGAAGUUCAACUUAUUAGUAACUUGGUUCUUAUACUCUAGCAAUUCAGGAUUAUGUUUCAAAUACAUGUACCGGAAAAUUUGUAAUUUUGCUUGGAGUUAAUGUCUUUUUUACUUGUUUUUGGGUUAAAAGUUGGUCAAGUAAUUUUUUCCUUGGGAGAUAGAAACUGAAGUUGAUUCAUAUAAGGCCAACUUUGCUACUGUUAAUAUGUAAACCGCAUGAUGACAUACACAUAUGAGACAUUUGAAUUAGAUAAUGAUGCCGCAAAAGUUCAUAAUGUAACCUACAUAUGGAAGACCAAAAUGUAGCAGGCUCUUCAUCAGAAACAUAGAAGAGGCUGAGCCAAUCUUUCACCUCCAGAGCAUUCUCUCCUUGAGAAGAAAAGAUUGUCCCAUAACUUAUGAGUUGCUUUCUUCAUAUUGUCCAACACAGUCAUUUGUAUCCCAGGAUUGUUAAUCUAAAAGAAACCUUCUUUUCUCUGCUGCACUGCAUGUCAUAUCUACC